Molecule: ribosomal RNA, 468 nt
Filed under: uncultured bacterium
Lineage: Bacteria
Description: partial 16S ribosomal RNA
Rfam family: Bacterial small subunit ribosomal RNA
Source: RNAcentral
GACGAACGCUGGCGGCGUGCUUAACACAUGCAAGUCGAACGGAAAGGCCCUGCUUUUGUGGGGUGCUCGAGUGGCUAACUGGUGAUUAACACGUGAGUAAUCUGCCCUUGACUUUGGGAUAACUUCAGGAAACUGGGGCUAAUACCGGAUAGGUGCUCCUGCUUCAUGGUGGGGGUUGGAAAGUUUCGGCGGUUGGGGAUGGACUCGCGGCUUAUCAGCUUGUUGGUGGGGUAGUGGCUUACCAAGGCUUUGACGGGUAGCCGGCCUGAGAGGGUGACCGGCCACAUUGGGACUGAGAUACGGCCCAGACUCCUACGGGAGGCAGCAGUGGGGAAUAUUGCACAAUGGGCGGAAGCAUGAUGCAGCAAAGCCGCGUGCGGGAUGACGGCCUUCGGGUUGUAAACCGCUUUCGCCUGUGACGAAGCGUGAGUGACGGUAAUGGGUAAAGAAGCACCGGCUAACUACGUG